RNAcentral lists this non-coding RNA (139 nucleotides) under Candidatus Zhuqueibacterota. Lineage: Bacteria; Pseudomonadati. The record is from RNAcentral.
UAAUAGUUUUACCUUAAAGAUUAGGUCGAAUAACGGCUGCGAAGUCCGGUGCAAGUCCGGCGCUGUCCCGCAACUGUAAUCCCAUCCCCAGUUUCUGGAACUGGAAAUGGGUAAGCCAGGUCGCCAACGUUAUUCGUAG